RNAcentral lists this ribosomal RNA (253 nucleotides) under uncultured bacterium. RNAcentral's name for it is "partial 16S ribosomal RNA". It matches the Rfam family "Bacterial small subunit ribosomal RNA", at positions 524 to 776 of the family's 1533-position model. The record is from RNAcentral.
UACGUAGGGUGCGAGCGUUGUCCGGAAUUAUUGGGCGUAAAGGGCUCGUAGGCGGUUUGUCGCGUCGGGAGUGAAAACACUGGGCUUAACUCAGUGCUUGCUUCCGAUACGGGCAGACUAGAGGUAUGCAGGGGAGAACGGAAUUCCUGGUGUAGCGGUGAAAUGCGCAGAUAUCAGGAGGAACACCGGUGGCGAAGGUGGUUCUCUGGGCAUUACCUGACGCUGAGGAGCGAAAGUGUGGGGAGCGAACAGG